UACGGGGGGAGCAAGCGUUGUUCGGAUUUACUGGGCGUAAAGGGCGCGUAGGCGGCUCGCCAAGUCGGGGGUGAAAUCUUUCGGCUCAACCGGAAAAGUGCCUUCGAUACUGGCGGGCUGGAGGGAGGUAGGGGCAUGUGGAACUUCCGGUGGAGCGGUGAAAUGCGUUGAUAUCGGAAGGAACGCCGGUGGCGAAAGCGACGUGCUGGACCUCUUCUGACGCUGAGGCGCGAAAGCUAGGGGAGCGAACGGG
Molecule: ribosomal RNA, 253 nt
Filed under: uncultured bacterium
Lineage: Bacteria
Description: partial 16S ribosomal RNA
Rfam family: Bacterial small subunit ribosomal RNA
Source: RNAcentral